CCUACGGGUGGCAGCAGUGAGGAAUAUUGGUCAAUGGCCGAGAGGCUGAACCAGCCAAGUCGCGUGAGGGAAGAAUGUCCUAUGGAUUGUAAACCUCUUUUGUCAGGGAGCAAAGUCACCCACGUGUGGGUGUUGGAGAGUACCUGAAGAAAAAGCAUCGGCUAACUACGUGCCAGCAGCCGCGGUAAUACGUAGGUGGCAAGCGUUAUCCGGAUUUACUGGGUGUAAAGGGCGUGUAGGCGGGACUGCAAGUCAGAUGUGAAAACCACGGGCUCAACCUGUGGCCUGCAUUUGAAACUGUAGUUCUUGAGUACUGGAGAGGCAGACGGAAUUCCUAGUGUAGCGGUGAAAUGCGGAGAUAUUAGGAGGAACACCAGUGGCGAAGGCGGUCUGCUGGACAGCAACUGACGCUGAGGCGCGAAAGCGUGGGGAGCAAACAGGAUUAGAUACCCUAGUAGUC
This 460-nucleotide ribosomal RNA is filed under the name uncultured bacterium. RNAcentral's name for it is "partial 16S ribosomal RNA". It matches the Rfam family "Bacterial small subunit ribosomal RNA", at positions 338 to 795 of the family's 1533-position model. The record is from RNAcentral.